GGGAAUGUGGCUUAGUGGUAGAGUGCUUGCCUAACAUGCAUGAAGCCCUGGGUUCAAUUCCCCAUUACCA
RNAcentral lists this transfer RNA (70 nucleotides) under Dipodomys ordii (Ord's kangaroo rat). It matches the Rfam family "tRNA". From Rfam's summary of the family: Transfer RNA (tRNA) molecules are approximately 80 nucleotides in length. Their secondary structure includes four short double-helical elements and three loops (D, anti-codon, and T loops). The record is from Rfam by way of RNAcentral. Lineage: Eukaryota; Metazoa; Chordata; Mammalia; Rodentia; Heteromyidae.